UAGGGAAUCUUCGGCAAUGGACGAAAGUCUGACCGAGCAACGCCGCGUGAGUGAAGAAGGUUUUCGGAUCGUAAAACUCUGUUGUUAGAGAAGAACAAGGACGUUAGUAACUGAACGUCACCUGACGGUAUCUAACCAGAAAGCCACGGCUAACUACGUGCCAGCAGCCGCGGUAAUACGUAGGUGGCAAGCGUUGUCCGGAUUUAUUGGGCGUAAAGCGAGCGCAGGCGGUUUCUUAAGUCUGAUGUGAAAGCCCCCGGCUCAACCGGGGAGGGUAAUUGGAAACUGGGAGACUAGAGUGCAGAAGAGGAGAGUGGAAUUCCAUGUGUAGCGGUGAAAUGCGUAGAUAUAUGGAGGAACACCAGUGGCGAAGGCGGCUCUCUGGUCUGUAACUGACGCUGAGGCUCGAAAGCGUGGGGAGCAAACAGG
RNAcentral lists this ribosomal RNA (429 nucleotides) under Gemmatimonadota bacterium. RNAcentral's name for it is "Gemmatimonadetes bacterium partial 16S ribosomal RNA". It matches the Rfam family "Bacterial small subunit ribosomal RNA", at positions 355 to 776 of the family's 1533-position model. The record is from RNAcentral. Lineage: Bacteria; Pseudomonadati; Gemmatimonadota.